RNAcentral lists this ribosomal RNA (402 nucleotides) under uncultured bacterium. RNAcentral describes it as "bacterial SSU rRNA". It matches the Rfam family "Bacterial small subunit ribosomal RNA", at positions 355 to 754 of the family's 1533-position model. The record is from RNAcentral.
UAAGGAAUAUUGGACAAUGGACGAAAGUCUGAUCCAGCCAUGCCGCGUGAAGGAUUAAGGUCCUCUGGAUUGUAAACUUCUUUUAUAUGGGACGAAAAAAGGGAAUUCUUUCUCACUUGACGGUACCAUAUGAAUAAGCACCGGCUAACUCCGUGCCAGCAGCCGCGGUAAUACGGAGGGUGCAAGCGUUAUCCGGAUUUACUGGGUUUAAAGGGUGCGUAGGCGGAUAGGUAAGUCAGAGGUGAAAGCCUGGAGCUUAACUCCAGAACUGCCUUUGAUACUAUCUAUCUUGAAUAUUGUGGAGGUUUGCGGAAUAUGUCAUGUAGCGGUGAAAUGCUUAGAUAUGACAUAGAACACCUAUUGCGAAGGCAGCAGGCUACACAUAUAUUGACGCUGAGGCAC